GGGAAAUGAGGAGUGGUAUAAUCUUGUAAUUUGCGACAAGGGUGUCCGCCCACGCCUGGUUACGACAAUUGGGCACUCUCAUUUAAACCAUCUGAUCCC
This is a small nucleolar RNA of Impatiens glandulifera, 99 nucleotides long. RefSeq annotates it as small nucleolar RNA Z279/snoR105/snoR108. NCBI's taxonomy places the organism in Eukaryota, Viridiplantae, Streptophyta, Magnoliopsida, Ericales, Balsaminaceae. The transcript has a single exon. The record is from RefSeq and is a predicted model, not a curated record.